UAUUAAAGGUCUCGCCUGCCCAGUGAUAUUAUUUUUAACGGCCGCGGUAUCCUAACCGUGCAAAGGUAGCGUAAUCAUUUGUCUCCUAAAUAGGGACUUGUAUGAAUGGCUAACUGAGGGCUUACCUGUCUCCUAAGGCCAAUCAAUGAAACUGAUCUUCCAGUACAAAAGCUGAAAUAAACACAUAAGACGAGAAGACCCUGUGGAGCUUAAAACCAACACUAUAAACACAUAUCUCCAACCCCCCGGGGUUACACCCAAUCCUAAUCUCUAUCAUAGCAAAGGUUUUUAGUUGGGGCGACUUUGGAACAAAACAAAACUUCCAUGCCAGGGACCCAUCCCUAUCAAGGCCGACAUGCCAAAAUAUAAAAUUUUGACCCAGCAUAUCUGAUCAACGAACCAAGUUACCCCAGGGAUAACAGCGCCAUCCUCUUCAAGAGUCCCUAUCGACAAGAGGGUUUACGACCUCGAUGUUGGAUCAGGACACCCCGGUGGUGCAACCGCUACCAAAGGUUCGUUUGUUCAACGAU
RNAcentral lists this ribosomal RNA (530 nucleotides) under Rhacodactylus auriculatus (New Caledonia bumpy gecko). Its description in RNAcentral is "partial 16S ribosomal RNA". It matches the Rfam family "Bacterial large subunit ribosomal RNA", at positions 1844 to 2588 of the family's 2925-position model. Lineage: Eukaryota; Metazoa; Chordata; Lepidosauria; Squamata; Diplodactylidae. The record is from RNAcentral.